Molecule: ribosomal RNA, 844 nt
Filed under: Pratylenchus penetrans
Lineage: Eukaryota; Metazoa; Nematoda; Chromadorea; Rhabditida; Pratylenchidae
Description: SSU rRNA
Rfam family: Eukaryotic small subunit ribosomal RNA
Source: RNAcentral
AUAAGCCAUGCAUGUAUAAGUAUAAACGCUUUAAGCGUGAAACCGCGAACGGCUCAUUACAACAGCUAUAAUUUACUUGAUCUUGACAAACUUACAUGGAUAACUGAGGUAAUUCUUGAGCUAAUACAUGCACCAAAGCUUUGACCGUAAGGGAAGAGCGCAUUUAUUAGAACAAAACCAAACGGCUUCGGCUGUUCCCAGUUGAAUCAGAAUAACUCAGCUGAUCGUACGGUCUUGCACCGACGACGUGUCUUUCAAGUAUCUGCUUUAUCAACUUUCGAUGGUAGGGUAUCUGCCUACCAUGGUGGUGACGGAUAACGGAGGAUCAGGGUUCGACUCCGGAGAAGGGGCCUGAGAAAUGGCCACUACGUCUAAGGAUGGCAGCAGGCGCGCAAAUUACCCACUCUCAGAAUUUGGAGGAGGUAGUGACGAGAAAUAACGAGGUUGAUCUCUUCUGAGGCCAACCAUCGGAAUGGGUACAAUUUAAACCCUUUAACGAGUAUCUAUGAGAGGGCAAGUCUGGUGCCAGCAGCCGCGGUAAUUCCAGCUCUCAAAAUGCAUAGAAUUAUUGCUGCGGUUAAAAAGCUCGUAGUUGGAUCUGCAGCCGGAGCUCCGGUCCAUCUUCGGAUGUGUACUGGAUGUCUCCGGCUUUCUGACAGUGUUCGGCUCUGUGCCUCUAACCAGGUGUGGAUGUCCGAUACUGUAAGUUUACUUUGAAUAAAUCAGAGUGCUCUAAACAGGCGUUUUGCUUGAAUGAUUGUGCAUGGAAUAAUAGAAGAGGAUUUCGGUUCUAUUUUAUUGGUUUUAUAGACUGAGAUAAUGGUUAACAGAGACAAACGGGGGC